GAGUUUGAUCCGGCUCAGAUUGAACGCUGGCGGCAGGCCUAACACAUGCAAGUCGAGCGGAUGACGGGAGCUUGCUCCUUGAUUCAGCGGCGGACGGGUGAGUAAUGCCUAGGAAUCUGCCUGGUAGUGGGGGACAACGUUUCGAAAGGAACGCUAAUACCGCAUACGUCCUACGGGAGAAAGCAGGGGACCUUCGGGCCUUGCGCUAUCAGAUGAGCCUAGGUCGGAUUAGCUAGUUGGUGGGGUAAUGGCUCACCAAGGCGACGAUCCGUAACUGGUCUGAGAGGAUGAUCAGUCACACUGGAACUGAGACACGGUCCAGACUCCUACGGGAGGCAGCAGUGGGAAUAUUGGACAAUGGGCGAAAGCCUGAUCCAGCCAUGCCGCGUGUGUGAAGAAGGUCUUCGGAUUGUAAAGCACUUUAAGUUGGGAGGAAGGGCAGUAAGUUAAUACCUUGCUGUUUUGACGUUACCGACAGAAUAAGCACCGGCUAACUCUGUGCCAGCCGCCGC
This 512-nucleotide ribosomal RNA is filed under the name bacterium enrichment culture clone ALO1_GLFRUDD03GSWF2. RNAcentral's name for it is "bacterial SSU rRNA". It matches the Rfam family "Bacterial small subunit ribosomal RNA", at positions 9 to 518 of the family's 1533-position model. The record is from RNAcentral.